This 581-nucleotide long non-coding RNA is filed under the name Homo sapiens (human). RNAcentral's name for it is "HSALNT0067350". Lineage: Eukaryota; Metazoa; Chordata; Mammalia; Primates; Hominidae. The record is from RNAcentral.
GCCCGACCGCCACCCAGUCUUGGAGGUGAGGAGCCCCUCUGCCCGGCCACCACCCCGUCUGGGAGGUGUACCCAACAGCUCAUUGAGAACGGGCCAUGAUGACGAUGGCGGUUUUGUCGAAUAGAAAAGGGGGAAAUGUGGGGAAAAGAUAGAAAAAUCAGAUUGUUGCUGUGUCUGUGUAGAAAGAAGUAGACAUGGGAGACUCAAUUUUGUUCUGUACUAAGAAAAAUUCUUCUGCCUUGGGAUCCUGUUGAUCUGUGACCUUACCCCCAACCCUGUGCUCUCUGAAACAUGUGCUGUGUCCACUCAGGGUUAAAUGGAUUAAGGGCGGUGCAAGAUGUGCUUUGUUAAACAGAUGCUUGAAGGCAGCAUGCUCGUUAAGAGUCAUCACCACUCCCUAAUCUCAAGUACCCAGGGACACAAACACUGCAGAAGGCCGCAGGGCCCUCUGCCUAGGAAAACCAGAGACCUUUGUUCACUUGUUUAUCUGCUGACCUUCCGUCCACUAUUGUCCUAUGACCCUGCCAAAUCCCCCUCUGCGAGAAACACCCAAGAAUGAUCAAUAAAAAUACAUAAAUAAA